UACGUAGGCAGCGAGCGUUGUUCGGAGUUACUGGGCGUAAAGCGUGCGUAGGCGGUCUUGUAAGUUUGGUGUGAAAUCUCCCGGCUCAACUGGGAGGGUGCGCCGAAAACUGCAAGGCUGGAGUAUGGGAGAGGUAGGCGGAAUUCCUGGUGUAGCGGUGAAAUGCGUAGAUAUCAGGAGGAACACCGGUGGCGAAGGCGGGUCUCUGGGCCACUACUGACGCUGAGGAGCGAAAGCGUGGGGAGCAAACAGG
RNAcentral lists this ribosomal RNA (253 nucleotides) under uncultured bacterium. RNAcentral's name for it is "partial 16S ribosomal RNA". It matches the Rfam family "Bacterial small subunit ribosomal RNA", at positions 524 to 776 of the family's 1533-position model. The record is from RNAcentral.